Parus major (Great Tit) is the source of this 6992-nucleotide RNA transcript. It is a transcript of the gene named protein-L-isoaspartate (D-aspartate) O-methyltransferase, with no coding region annotated. The transcript is spliced from 8 exons. The record is from RefSeq and is a predicted model, not a curated record. Lineage: Eukaryota; Metazoa; Chordata; Aves; Passeriformes; Paridae.
UUCCUGGGGAAGCUGCUGUGCGCAGUCGCGGCGCUGAAGGCGGCUCUGUACCUGCUCCGCAGAGUGUGCCUAGCGAUGGCCUGGAAGUCGGGCGGCGCCAGCCACUCCGAGCUCAUCCACAACCUCCGCAAAAAUGGAAUAAUCAAGACAGACAAGGUAUUUGAAGUAAUGCUGGCUACAGACCGUUGCCACUAUGCAAAAUACAACCCUUACAUGGACUCUCCACAGUCUAUAGGUUUCCAAGCAACAAUCAGUGCUCCACAUAUGCAUGCAUAUGCACUUGAACUUCUGUCUGAUCAGUUACAUGAAGGAGCCAAAGCACUUGAUGUAGGAUCUGGAAGUGGAAUUCUUACAGCAUGCUUUUCGCGAAUGGUUGGUCCCAAAGGACAAGUUGUAGGAAUUGAUCAUAUCAAAGAACUAGUAGAUGACUCAAUAAAUAAUGUCAAAAAAGACGAUCCCACAUUGCUGUCUUCAGGAAGAGUGAAACUGAUUGUGGGAGAUGGACGAAUGGGAUAUGCAGAAGAAGCUCCCUAUGAUGCGAUACAUGUUGGAGCUGCAGCCCCGGUUGUGCCCCAAGCACUUAUAGACCAGUUAAAACCUGGCGGAAGAUUGAUAUUACCAGUUGGCCCUGCUGGGGGAAACCAGAUGCUCGAACAGUAUGACAAACUAGAAGAUGGCAGUGUCAAAAUGAAGCCUCUGAUGGGAGUGAUAUAUGUGCCUUUAACAGAUAAAGAGAAGCAGUGGUCCAGGUGGAAGUGAUUUUCUGUUCCACUUACUUCUUCCACACACAUUCAAGGUGAAAGGGUGUGAAUUUUAAGCAGAUAGACUGCAAGGCCUGCCUUUGCUGCUGUCAUUGCUUUCUGCUCCUCCAUACCAUGAAAAGUGACUCAGUCUGCAUUACUACAUCACCCAAAGGAGGUUAUGCUAAGUUUGAGCUAAAUUAAAAGCAGAAGAAAAAUAUUGCAUGGGUUGCACUUUGUCAUUUUUGGACAUGUUUUCUUUAGUUUUUGGUGUUUUGAAGAUUCUUAAUUGUUGUUUUAAACACAGUAUUUUCUAAGGCUAAACUUCACUUUUAAUGAACUUUUUAUAACUAUUUUGCCCAAUAAUUAGGGUGAAGUGUAAAAUUUUACUUAAUAAAUACUGUUUUGUCCUUUAAGUUAGUGGUAAUUGGGUGUUCAUUUUUUAUUUUCCUGAAACACUGCAAAUGAAGAAAAAUCUUUGCAAAAUCCUUUGUGGAAAAUGUAGGUGAUCUUGCUAGCACUUUUUCUUUAGCCCCCAAAUAGCAAAAAGUAGAGGAGAUAAUUCUUUCUUCCCUAAAGUAUAAAUGUAGUUGAGUAGUGUCCAGAAAAUUUUCUCAGCUGUGUUAUUAGAAGUCUGUCAUCUGUCUCUGAUGGGACAGUAUUUGUGUUUGCCAAUACAUCAAACUCUAAAGGCCUUUCUAGAAGUAGGAAACCUUCCAGUUUGCUGAAUUGAAUAGCCAGUAAUAAAUAAAUAAAUAAAGAGAUGUAAUGCAGCUGUCAGCUUAAGCCAUGGUAGGCAUUAGUAUGUGAAUGAACAAAGCAGCAGUGCUCUUUUGCUUCCUGGCAGAAAGUGCUUGUGAAUGUAUUAUUGGCAUUAGCGAAGUGCAGAGAUGUGCACUGAGCUCUGAAAACAACUCUUGAGCUUUAUAAUCUAAAUUUAGAUUUUUGGCUUUUUUCCCUUGAUAUUCUGGAGUAUAGCUUGUGAUUUGAAUACAUGAAUACUUAGUCUAACAUAUCAAAAUAUUCAUAAAAAGUACAAAUAAAGUAUUUUGCAUACUGUUGCUUAGUGAAACCCCAUUUCAGUGUUUCUUGGAUUACUAUAUAGCCACCAUGUACAAAUGACUCUUAAAACAACUUCAGUGAGGUACUGCUUAGUUCAAAGCUUGUGAAGCAUGCUUGUUAUUCAGAUGUUUUGCAUUUGUUAUGCAAAUGAAUGCUUUGGCCUCGAAUAUCGCCAGUAUUCCCUCAGUGUGGUACUCAGGGGUUUCCUGCCUCUUGUAAGGCUUUGGAAGCUUUCCUUUGUGGUUGGUUUCCUCCUUUGGCAAAUGUUUUAUUUAAGUUUGGAGUCCAUGCUUCACUUGCUCUAAAAAAGAGUAGUAAUCUUCUUAAGCCUUCCUUCUCUCAGAGAGGUUUCAUAGAUUUUUCUCCAUUUCAGGCUGAUCUGAUUAUAGUAGCAAUUGGAAUUUUUUUUGGUCGCAGCAGUGUAUGUUCAUAAAACACUUUAGGAAGGGUUUCUCAAAAGUGUUUAUGCCUUGCUACAAGUGAAGGUGGUGUGUACUGUGUUACGGACUAGAAUUCUGAGUUUUUUACAUCUGUUUGGUGCAGUUUGUUAUUUCAUUUUGUCUGCCAGCUUGGGAAGAGCUAGUAAUUUGUCUUUGAGCCUUCUUCAGUCAUGCAUCUUGUAGGGUUAUUUUCUCCAGAAAUUCAUACCAGUUCCUGUGCUUUUAUGAUACACUUCUUGAUUUUAUUUAUUUAUUUAUAAUUUAAGAAUUUACAGUGGUGUUACCAGAAAAUAUAAGUGCUUAGCCUGAAGGGUUUGUCUGCAAUGGCAUAGAGGCUGUAUCUUCCUAUGCACGUUUAAAUUUUGUUCCAUCUUGGAACCCUCUGUUAAAGAAAAUCUCAGAAGUCCACUUCUUGUAAUGUUUGGUAUUUCUUUCGUUGUCUUUUUUGUGAUCUGAAUAAAAUUCCCAUUCUGUUUUCUAGGAUAACUGUCAGUGUACUGCUGACCUUUCAGAAGGUCACAUUUUUUUGUUGUUGUUUUUUUUUUCUUGUUGGUGACUAUGAAGUGUAUGGUCAGCCAGCUGCUGCUAAGGAAAUUCCUAAUUAUAAGUCAGCAUUUGCUAUCUCUGCUGGCAUCAAAAAUGAAAGAGGUGUUUUUUCUUCACUUCCUAGAUUUCAGUUUUUCUUUUCUAAAUGGCUCAAGAUCUGUGAGCAAUUCGUUGCUGUACAUCAAAAAUUCAUUAAACAAUAAUCAUGUUAAGAUUAGCUCAAUUCUGUGUGUUUAGUUUGUCAUUCUUUUAGUUUACAUUAUGUGAUUUCAUUCCUAAUGCAGGUAACUCUUCCAUUACAUUGAAUGAAGAAUUGGUGUCCCUUCACAGAAUAGAAUUGAUAGGCCAGCAGCAUUUUCCUAGGCUAGCAGACCUUCCAGUUGGCAGGAAAGAAACUGUUUAAAUUUUUGCUGAGCCAUUCACGUUUUGGAAUGUUCUUUAAUGGGGCUGCAGGGUGCUUUUGCAAAGCAGCACAACACUCUUAAGUGGUCUUUGAAGUCAAACCUAUCUUGGUACUGUGUAUCAUACUUCACUAUGUAAAACUGCAAUCUUGUAGCAAAAGGAAAUCUGGACUAGCUGGAAGGAAAAGAUUACUUGAAUUUCAAUACAUUGCUAAAUAAAGCAUCUUAUUUGUGAAUACUGUUCAAUUUCUUUAAAUUUAGGCUGUGACUUUCUAGUUUUGGUUCAGUUACAGUCAUAUUUUAUUAAGCUCCCAAUAUUAGUGGAAAUCAUCUCAAAUGUCCCUGGGACAUUUAGAAGUAGAAUAUACACAGGAACCCUAUUUUUGGUACAAAACAAUACAAAGUAGUGCGCCAGAGAUCCAGCAGCCAAUGCCUAGAUAUGUGUUUAUAUUGAUAAGGAUAUCCUUUCAUAUAAAACUUACCAAUUUUUUUGGGUAUUUUUACUGAAAAAUAGGAUGGAGGGAGGACCUCUUGUGCUGCACAGUUGGGAACAUGGCUUGAUGGCUGCCUUAUUGGCAGAUCUUGUAUAAACUAGGAUCUCUGGUUUUACUUCUCUGUGAGAGUUCACCUACUACUUAUUUGGAAAAACGAUUUCAAAAGUCACAGGAUCAUGGUAUUAUUUAGGAUAGAAAACACAUUUAAGGUCAUUGAGUCUGACUGUUAACCCUGUGCUGCCAAGUCCACCACUAAACCAUUUUCUCAAGGGCUACUGCUAUACAUCUUUUAAAUACCUCCAGAGGAUACCUUGUCCUGCUGGCCACCCUGUUGCUUAUACAGAGGCAUAAGAGAGUAACAAUGUAAAUAACACUUAGCAAUGGGUCUGCAUUUUGGAUUUGAUUACCAGACAGGCAGCUGUUUAAAAAUGUUAACAACUGCUUUUCUCUUAGAUAUUGUAUUAGUAUAAAUUAUUUAUAAAUGUUAUGCUAAACUCAUCUUUUCUGAUAAAAUACAAAAUUAUAAUGACAGUAUUACCCUUCUGAGCAAAAACUUCAGUGACUGAACUCGACUGUUAAUGUAUCCCACUUACUGGUACAUAAACCACGAUUAAAAACACAGCCUUUUGGAAAAUGUAUUUAUUAGGAUAUAUUUUUAUAUGUUUCUGCUUCAAAACUCUUACUCAGUGUUUCAAGUGCCCCUGACAAUCUAGUUGACCAAUUUAAUUUGAAAUUAACAGGUACUGUUUGCUGGAAUUCUCAGGCCAUGCAGAAUAAUGAUUAUGGUUCAGGUGCUUAUUUUACUUUGGCUAAAAGAAUCUCUGCACAGAACGUUUCAGUUUAAAUUUAAGAAUUAGGUAUUAUUGUGGUGGUUUGACCCUGACUGAAUGCCAAGUGCUCACCAAAGCCUCUCUCUCCACAACUAGACAGAGGAAAAAGAACUCAACAGAAGGCUCAUGAGUUAAGGACAGGAAGAGGUCACUCACCAGUUACCACCAUGGGUACAACAGACUUGACUUGGGGAUAUUAAUUGAAAUUAUUGCCAAGCAAAAUCAAAGCAGGAUAAUGAGAGGGAUGAAUUGUAAAAGCUACAUCAUCUUGACCCAAACAUAGUGUUACAGUGGACUGCUCAUCUCCAGUUCUAAAAGCUUUUUGAAAACCAACAGCAUUGCAGCUUGUUUUGGACUUCGUUAUACUGUUGUUAUCAGCAUGGAAAAGCGUGAUGUUUGUUUUAUUUUUUUAGAUGCUCAAGGCAAAUCUGAUAAAGAAAUGGUGGAAAGUUUUAUGUGGGCACUGUUUUAUUUAACAUGCCUUUAUUUCACUUUCAUCUGUUCAAAGUGAAUUUCUGCAGAACUGCAGAUAAAGACCUAUAGCUUGUGAACUUUAAAUUUGAUGGAGGAACUUGAACACUCACUUCUCUCGGCUCCUGUGUCCCUUGGUAAAACUGCUUCUGUGCACCUUACGACACUCUGUAGGUAUUACCAGGUUUUCUGUGUUCCAACGUCUUCUAGAUGCUACUAAAAGGAGAUGAACUUCCUUUCUAAGCUUUUGACAUGGUGUCAUAGACUAGCAUGUAGUAGAUACAAUCAGCUGCUUUUUUACCUUAAAACCAGGCAUUUGUAUAUAUACAAUUUCAGGACAUCAGAGGUAGGUAGCUGCUCUUAUCAAACAUUGCUAUUCAAGCUGGACAUAACAGACAUGGUUUUCCCCUUCCUUCUAAAAUUGAUUAAUGUAAUCUUGAAAUUCUCUUGUGGUUUAUAGCUCGGUGCUGGUGUGAUAUACAUGGAUCUAACUCCAUAAAUGUGAAGUGAGGUGUGUUCCAACCACUGAAAAAUUUACACAAUGCUGCUUUGCCAAAUAAAAGUAAAAGGGGGGUUUUGUGCUUGUGUGGAAGAUUAGGAUGGGUAGGUAGUCUGAGAUAUGGAUUUCUAGGUUUUUUGUUAAAAACCAAAACCCCCUUUGGUUCUAAAAGAAAGUUGCUUUUGGCAAAGCCAUUUGCUGUAUUAACAUCCUUAUUUUUAUAACAGUGGGCAUCCAGGAAAAAUUCUGGCUUUUUAGAAAGUGAAUUCUAAAUUGCUGUAAUAGGAACACAUCGUGCAUGCAUGAAGAGUCCUGGACUCCUAAGUACAGAUAGAUGUACUUGUUCAGUUUUCAUACAGGAGAAUAGUUGGAAGGCUAUAAACCUUUUUUUCUGUUUUUGGUACUGUAAAAUGUCAACAGCAAAUUGUGAAGCAGUACAGUAAAGUGGGCUGCUUUGGGAAAGGGGGGAAGUGUGUCUUCAAUCAUCUUGCUCAUAUUUGAGCAGCCAGGAAUUAAAAUAAACAGGGAACGGGGCGGGAGGGGGGGUGUGUUUGUUUGUUGUUGUUUGGGGUUUUUUAUGAUAGGAAGGAUUGUAAAAUAAAACAACCCACAGAGAUCACUGGGAAAAAAACCAAAACAACUUUUUAUGGUGGAAGAAAUAAUUUAGGGAUAGGAUUAAUCCCUGGAAGCAUAAAGGUAAAAAUUCAAAAGUUUCUGAAUAUGGAAAAAGAACAUUUUAAAUAACCUGCCUUUUGAAGGCCAGCCCCAUUUUGUUCUUCUGUAAAAGAUACUAUAUGACUUAAUUUAUUUAGAUGUUUGGAUGUUAAUGUACCACCUCCUGAUCUGACUGCAGCCUGGGAGCACAUGCACAAGAUUAAUCUUAUAAAGAAAUUAAUAUAGCGCAUAUUGUAGAAAAUACAAUCCAGAAAAAUCCACUUGCGUCUGACAAAUUUGUACUAACCCACAAUCAACUGUGACUCUAGUUCUUGAUGUUGAAGUGAAAUAUCUUAAAUGAUGCAUGCUAACGUUCAACCUUUUGGUCGCUGUAUCUUUCAGUUUGAGUUCAGCUUUAUUUACAUCUUCUCACUAAUUUAAUCAGUUAAAUGAAAGAUAUGAGCUCAACUCUAUCCAAAAUCCUGUCUCUGGACACAGUGUAAUAAGCUAGCCUGACUUGGAAGUGGUGUUAAAGCUGAAACCCGAUGACAACUUCCUGGGGGAGAACCACUUCAGGAGGUGUAAGGCUUCAGGGACCAAGGCUGGUGGGAAUAGUGCACCCAUUCCACUAAAGGGGUGAUGAUAGUCAAGGUACUUGGACAGAAAGGAGUAUCCAGGAGUAGCAUUUAGGAGUCGAAAAUGGAAACUCCUCCAUGGUGGAGCAAUGGUUCUGAAGUAAAAACUUGGAGACAAGGACAAGUUGAAAUGCAGAAGACUGGAAGAGCUUGAAUAAAUGCUGUGUGAACUGUCUGAAUUGCUACUUUGCCAAAUAAAACAAAUUGAGAGGAAGCUGUA